UACGUAGGGCGCAAGCGUUGUCCGGAAUUAUUGGGCGUAAAGAGCUCGUAGGCGGCUUGUCACGUCGGGUGUGAAAGCCCGGGGCUUAACCCCGGGUCUGCAUUCGAUACGGGCUAGCUAGAGUGUGGUAGGGGAGAUCGGAAUUCCUGGUGUAGCGGUGAAAUGCGCAGAUAUCAGGAGGAACACCGGUGGCGAAGGCGGAUCUCUGGGCCAUUACUGACGCUGAGACGCGAAAGCGUGGGGAGCGAACAGG
Molecule: ribosomal RNA, 253 nt
Filed under: uncultured bacterium
Lineage: Bacteria
Description: partial 16S ribosomal RNA
Rfam family: Bacterial small subunit ribosomal RNA
Source: RNAcentral